UCGCGGCUUAUCACCGGCAGUCCCCUUAGAGUGCCCAACUGAAUGAUGGCAACUGGAGGCAAGGGUUGCGCUCGUUGCGGGACUUAACCCAACACCUCACGGCACGAGCUGACGACAGCCAUGCAGCACCUGUGCUGGCUCCCCUUGCGAGGUCAUCCCCGUUUCCGGUUCUUACCACCAGCAUGUCAAACCUGGGUAAGGUUCUUCGCGUUGCAUCGAAUUAAACCACAUCAUCCACCGCUUGUGCGGGCCCCCGUCAAUUCCCUUGAGUUUUAAUCUUGCGACCGUACUCCCCAGGCGGGAUGCUUAAUGCGUUAGCUGCGCCACUGACAGGCAAGCCUGCCAACGGCUAGCAUCCAUCGUUUACGGCGUGGACUAC
Molecule: unclassified non-coding RNA, 379 nt
Filed under: uncultured Pseudomonadota bacterium
Lineage: Bacteria; Pseudomonadati; Pseudomonadota
Description: uncultured proteobacterium contains 16S-23S intergenic spacer region
Source: RNAcentral